This 253-nucleotide ribosomal RNA is filed under the name uncultured bacterium. Its description in RNAcentral is "partial 16S ribosomal RNA". It matches the Rfam family "Bacterial small subunit ribosomal RNA", at positions 524 to 776 of the family's 1533-position model. The record is from RNAcentral.
UACGUAGGGAGCAAGCGUUGUCCGGAAUCAUUGGGCGUAAAGCGCGCGUAGGUGGCCACAUAAGUCCGUUGUGAAAGUCAAAGGCUCCACCUUUGAAAGCCGAUGGAUACUGUGUGGCUAGAGUACGGAAGAGGCGAGUGGAAUUCCUGGUGUAGCGGUGGAAUGCGCAGAUAUCAGGAGGAACACCAAUAGCGAAGGCAGCUCGCUGGGACGUUACUGACACUGAGGCGCGAAAGCGUGGGGAGCGAACAGG